GACGAACGCUGGCGGCGUGCCUAAUACAUGCAAGUAGAACGCUGAAGGAGGAGCUUGCUUCUCUGGAUGAGUUGCGAACGGGUGAGUAACGUGUAGGUAACCUGCCUGGUAGCGGGGGAUAACUAUUGGAAACGAUAGCUAAUACCGCAUAAGAGUAGAUGUCGCAUGACAUUUGCUUAAAAGGUGCAAUUGCAUCACUACCAGAUGGACCUGCGUUGUAUUAGCUAGUUGGUGAGGUAACGGCUCACCAAGGCAACGAUACAUAGCCGACCUGAGAGGGUGAUCGGCCACACUGGGACUGAGACACGGCCCAGACUCCUACGGGAGGCAGCAGUAGGGAAUCUUCGGCAAUGGACGGAAGUCUGACCGAGCAACGCCGCGGGAGUGAAGAAGGGUGUCGGAUCGUAAAGCUCUGUUGUAAGAGAAGAACGAGUGUGAGAGUGGAAAGUUCACACUGUGACGGUAGCUUACCAGAAAGGGACGGCUAACUACGUG
RNAcentral lists this ribosomal RNA (495 nucleotides) under uncultured bacterium. RNAcentral describes it as "partial 16S ribosomal RNA". It matches the Rfam family "Bacterial small subunit ribosomal RNA", at positions 28 to 507 of the family's 1533-position model. The record is from RNAcentral.